GAUGAAGAACGUAGCGAAAUGCGAUACGUAAUGUGAAUUGCAAAUUCAGUGAAUCAUCGAGUCUUUGAACGCACAUUGCGCCCGCCAGUAUUCUGGCGGGCAUGCCUGUUCGAGCGUCAUUACAACCCUCAGGCCCCCGGGCCUGGCGUUGGGGAUCGGCGGAGCCCCCCGUGGGCACACGCCGUCCCCCAAAUGCAGUGGCGGUCCCGCCGCAGCUUCCAUCGCGUAGUAGCUAACACCUCGCGACUGGAGAGCGGCGCGGCCACGCCGUAAAACACCCAACUCUUCUGAAGUUGACCUCGAAUCAGGUAGGAAUACCCGCUGAACUUAAGCAUAUCAAUAAGCGGAGGA
Molecule: unclassified non-coding RNA, 351 nt
Filed under: soil metagenome
Description: partial contains 5.8S ribosomal RNA, internal transcribed spacer 2, and large subunit ribosomal RNA
Rfam family: 5.8S ribosomal RNA (bases 1-119)
Source: RNAcentral